AGCUGUAAUGGCUCAACUGGCGAAACUCGUUCUUUCUACGAGUCCCUAUCAAAUGAUAGCCUGCGCCCCGUUGAAUCUUUGUGAAGGUCGUCCACUCGCUUCGGUAACGAGCGAUCUGCUGGCGCGGCCCUAAGCUUCUGAGAUAUCCUUCAGCCGAGCAAUCGGGCAGAGAAUUUCAGGUCAUGGAGAGGUCAUAUGGGAUUACGCGUGUUGUUGUUGGGAUGAACUGGAGAUUUGGGACGGGUGACGCUUUUU
Molecule: signal recognition particle RNA, 255 nt
Filed under: Dothistroma septosporum NZE10
Lineage: Eukaryota; Fungi; Ascomycota; Dothideomycetes; Mycosphaerellales; Mycosphaerellaceae
Description: fungal signal recognition particle RNA
Rfam family: Fungal signal recognition particle RNA
Source: Rfam by way of RNAcentral